RNAcentral lists this microRNA precursor (109 nucleotides) under Nelumbo nucifera (sacred lotus). RNAcentral describes it as "mir-399 microRNA precursor family". It matches the Rfam family "mir-399 microRNA precursor family". Rfam says of the family: mir-399 was identified in both Arabidopsis thaliana and Oryza sativa computationally and was later experimentally verified. mir-399 is thought to target mRNAs coding for a phosphatase transporter. The mature sequence is excised from the 3' arm of the hairpin. The record is from Rfam by way of RNAcentral. Lineage: Eukaryota; Viridiplantae; Streptophyta; Magnoliopsida; Proteales; Nelumbonaceae.
AGCUGCAUUACAGGGCGUUCCUCCUUUGGCAGUCGUCCGCUCCAUCACCUACUCUUCUUUACUUUGUAGCGUGUCCACUGCCAAAGGAGAUAUGCCCCGCAAUUCUUCU